GGUUGAAACAUCGCAUCCCGUGCGAUCACCAAAGUUAAGCAACAUCGAUCCUGGUCAGUACCUAGGUUGGUGAGCACUUGUGAAUACCAGGUGGA
This is a non-coding RNA of Acanthosepion pharaonis, 95 nucleotides long. The record is from the annotation of a GenBank genome assembly. NCBI's taxonomy places the organism in Eukaryota, Metazoa, Mollusca, Cephalopoda, Sepiida, Sepiidae.